This 253-nucleotide ribosomal RNA is filed under the name uncultured bacterium. RNAcentral describes it as "partial 16S ribosomal RNA". It matches the Rfam family "Bacterial small subunit ribosomal RNA", at positions 524 to 776 of the family's 1533-position model. The record is from RNAcentral.
UACGGAGGGAGCUAGCGUUGCUCGGAAUUACUGGGCGUAAAGCGCGCGUAGGCGGCUUUGUAAGUUAGAGGUGAAAGCCCGGAGCUCAACUCCGGAACUGCCUUUAAGACUGCAUCGCUUGAAUCCGGGAGAGGUGAGUGGAAUUCCGAGUGUAGAGGUGAAAUUCGUAGAUAUUCGGAAGAACACCAGUGGCGAAGGCGGCUCACUGGACCGGCAUUGACGCUGAGGUGCGAAAGCGUGGGGAGCAAACAGG